This 231-nucleotide long non-coding RNA is filed under the name Polistes fuscatus (common paper wasp). RNAcentral's name for it is "uncharacterized LOC122514610". Lineage: Eukaryota; Metazoa; Arthropoda; Insecta; Hymenoptera; Vespidae. The record is from RNAcentral.
CUGGGAUAUAUAUUUGUAAAAACAAUCUUGAACUCGCAAAGAAAAGCAACAAAACUUCUGUUUUCUGAUUAUGCAAAGUGUCUUUGGUGGCAAAGACUUUGGCGAGGAUACCUUCAACGCAAUGGCUUAACGCAGUCCGGUGCCAACACAUUCAAGAUGCAGAUAUUUAAUGCGACCUAGCAGAACGUUGUCGCUAUUUCGGAACCUAACUACGAAUAUCGGAAAAGAAAA